CACCAGCGCCACGAGUGGCGUUCACGAUUAUUGGGCCUAAAGCGUCCGUAGUCUGCUUGGUACAUCUUCUGUGAAAUCGCAGCGCUUAACGUUGCGGCAUGCGGAAGACACGGCCGAGCUUGAGACCGGGAGGCGUAGAGGGUACUCCGGGGGGACCGGUAAAGUGGUAUAAUCCCCGGAAGACCACCUGUGGCGAAGGCGCUCUACGAAUACGGAUCUGACGAUGAGGGACGAAAGCCAGGGGAGCAAACCGG
This 254-nucleotide ribosomal RNA is filed under the name uncultured bacterium. RNAcentral describes it as "partial 16S ribosomal RNA". It matches the Rfam family "Archaeal small subunit ribosomal RNA", at positions 474 to 727 of the family's 1478-position model. The record is from RNAcentral.